Molecule: RNA transcript, 963 nt
Organism: Chrysochloris asiatica (Cape golden mole)
Lineage: Eukaryota; Metazoa; Chordata; Mammalia; Afrosoricida; Chrysochloridae
Gene name: glyceraldehyde-3-phosphate dehydrogenase pseudogene
Exons: 1
Source: RefSeq, a predicted model, not a curated record
AUGGUGAAGAUGAAAGUCAAUAGAUGUGGCAAUAUUGGGCGCCUGGUCACCAAGACUGCUGUUAACUCUGGCAAAGUGGAGGUUGUUGUCAUCAAUGACCCUUUCAUUGACCUCAACUACAUGUUCUACAUGUUCCAGUAUGAUUCCACCCAUGGCAAGUUCAGUGGCACGCAAGGCUGAGAAUGGGAAGCUUGUCAUUAAUGGGAAGCUCUUCUCUGUCUUCCAGGAGAUCCUGCCAACAUCAAGUGGGAUGAUGCUAGUGCUCAGUAAGUUGUAGAUAGAGUCCACCGGGGUCUUUACAACCUUGGAGAAGGUGGGGGCUCACUGGAAGGGUGGUACCACAAGGGUAAUCAUCUCUGCCCCUUCUUCUGAUGCCCCCAUGUUUGUGUUGGGCAUGAACCACAAGAAGUAUGAUAGCUCACUCAAGAUUGUUGGCAAUGCCUCCUGCACCACCAACUGUUUGGCCCCCCGGCUAAGGUCAUCCAUGACAACUCUGGCAUCGUGGAGGGACUCAUGACCACAGUCCAGGCCAUCACUGCCACCCAGAAGACUGUGGAUGGCCCCUCUGGGAAACUGGUGUAAUGGCCAUGAUCGCUGCAUCUCCUGGUACUGCCAAGGCUGUGGGCAAAGUCAUACCUGAGCUGAGUGGGAAACUCACUGGCAUGGCCUCCCAGGUCCUUACUACAUGCAACAUGUCUGUCGUGGACCUGACCUGCCAUCUGGAGAAAGCUGCCCAAUAUGAUGGCAUCAAGAAGGUAGUGAAUCAGGCAUCAGACGGGUUACACUGAAGACCAGGUCGUCUCCUGGGACUUCAACAGUGACACCCACUCUUCCACCUUUAAUGCUGGGGCUGGCAUUGUCCUCAACGACCACUUUGUCCAGCUCAUUUCCUGGUAUGACAAUGAAUUUGGCUACAGCAACAGGGUGGUGGAUCUUAUGGUCCACAUGGCCUCCAAGGAAUAA